UGUCUGAUGCUAAUUCGUCAUUCAAGUUAUGUGCUUUGGUGUCUGUUCAUAAGGGUUAACUUUGCCACUCUCUGCCUCUCUAUGCUCAGAGAAUUCAAUUCAAUUUGAUCUGUAUAGCGUUUUUGACGACGGACGUCGUCUCAAAGCAGCUGUACAGAAACAUAUAAACACGGGAUGGAGAUUUUAAGUGUGUGAAUUUAUCCGUAUCGGGCGAGCCGGUGGCGACGGUGCCGAGGAAAAACUCCCUGAGACGAUAUGACGAAGAAACCUUGAGAGGAACCGGACUCAGAAGGGAACCCGUCCUCAUCUGGGUCACGACGGAUAGCGUGAAAGUAAAAGAAAGUUCACUAAAGGAGACUCGUAUGUGGUAAUCGCAGUCCCAAGGCCAUCGCAGCAACCGUAGUCCCGGCAACCACAGCACAACUGUUCAUGUGAAAUUGAGGUCCCAAACCAUUUCCAUGGUACUUGAAGUGGCACCAUCCAACGCAAUCUCCAGGCUGCACCGCUUGGCGCCGUCCUCAGUACCAGAACGUAGCCUCCGGUUGAUGAGAGCUCCAUGCAGAGGUGGGGCUUCAGGAUGGAUCAGGCAGGUCCGGAGAGCAGAAAGGGUCAGGAUCACUGGCGUCUCCGUAAUAUAAUGUGUGGCUCGACUGAAGGAGCGAGGGAGAGGGAGGUAAAGAGAGGAAGAGAUCGUGUACUUUGCAUAAAAGGAAGUCUUAUUUAUGGUAAGCUUGAGUAAACAAAUAUGUUUUCAGCCUGGGCUUAAACACUGAGACUGUGUCUGAGCUCCAAACACUGACUGGAAGGCUGUUCCAUAACUGUGGGGCUUUGUAACAGACAGUUCUUCCCCCUGCUGAACACUAGCUGUUUCUUGUUAGACUACGCACUGUUUUUUUUUUUUGUUGUUGUUAUAAGAGCUUCUCUUUCUUCUGGUUCGCCCCUGGUUUUCCCGUCCUAUUGACAUGCUUUCAUUUCAGCUCAGUCUUGUCUUGGAUUUGACCCCCUUACGACUUGCCUUGAUCCCGGCUACUCCUGAUCUUGGACUUGACGAUAGCGAUCUUGACUACAACCCUACUGUUCACUGUGUUUUACUCUCGCUAUAUUUAAAACCCCUUACUGCGACUAGUGGAAGAUGAACCCUCGGUUCUUUGAGUCCUUCUGGAGACCGUUAUUAGUUUACGGAGGGACAACUGUAGUGUGUGUGAGAUUCAGCGAACGUACGGAGCCAUAGAGGUGAUCGUAAACUAAGACACCAGUGUGAAAUGGUGCAGAAAUGAUGCAGGAUGCAGAAUAUUUUGACACCAACAUGUUACAACAGACGUCAGAUCUGUAAUAGAGCGUUGUAAUCCGACGUGAUCGACCUGUUCUGUAUGGACUGGACCCGGACAGUCACUGCACCUUUUAUUCUCUGUUCCACGAUCUUCUCCGGAAACCUGGCAACAACUCGGAGACCUCGGUAAAGCAUCUGUAAGAGAAGAUCUGUUUACCGCUUCGGCGUUCGAACUCUCGUGUCCAGCCGACCGUGAGUUUAACGACGGAGUUUCCGCAUUCGUUCACGUGGUAGAGAUUGUGACCCUGGUGAAGCGUAUGCCCCAGAGUGAACUGAAGUGCUGGUUAACAAUGUGCCAGUGUGUAAAAUGUGUGUGGGUAUUAUCUGAACCUUCACCCAGCAGAUGUAGACCCGUUCUGGGAGGUGGAGUGUUGGUGGCCCCUACCAGAGGACCAGAAUGACCUUCAUACUCACCUCUAGACUCCUGAACGGCUAAUAGGAUUUCCCUGCCCUGGGCUAUGGCACUGAGAGGAGGUGCAAACAGAGGAGAGAGGCGGGGGGGGACAGGAGGAGGAGAGAGGGAUGUGGGGAAAAGGGGGAAUGAUUUCGCCCUGGUGAAGAGAGAUGACUGACUCCGUCUGAGGAAUGUGAUGUGAGAAUCUCAUUGACUUCCUGAUGAGAUGGGGGACAGCGGGGAAAAUCUGGCCAAAACGAAGGCACCUUUAUCGUCUUUAGAAUUCAAAACCCUAGACCUGUAUUGUCCGUGCACAUUCAGGAUAUCUGACGGUGCGUGUGCUCUCUCUAGUGUGUACGACUAUGCUAUGUAAGGGAUUAAAUACUGGGGUGUGCAGUUAAAGGUACUGAUCGUGUGGCAUGCAGAGACUAACAGCACAGACAAGUUAGUUACUGUUAUACUGCCAUCACUUACAUCAUAGAAACUAUAAACAGUCGCUCCAUCACCAGCCCAUCUUCCGUCUCUGGAAGUUAAUAAACUUACCGUAAUAAAGCGCCGACACUGGAGACUCCUUACAGAAAUUCACCAUUUCAACGAGUAACCAUUCUCCAUAAAUAUCGACGUUGUUUUUUUUUUGGUUGUUUUUUUUUUUAAACUCUGUUUUAGUUCUAGCUUUUGAUUAUGUCGAACAUAAUACUGUAUAUUAAGCCAUGACAUCAAAGCGUCUCAACUUUCCUCUGAUACUCGUGAUCUGUAACCCUUCUCACACACAUUCAGUGACAUGUAAAUCACAUGUUAAUAAGUCAGAUAGACCCUUGCACUUUCAAGGGCUUGAUACAGUAUGUCACUAAUAUAACAAACAAACCCCGUGGGAAAGUUAAGAUCAAUUUGGAAAUGUGUUUCGAAUGAAUGAGGGUCAGAAUUGUUUGUUUGUUUGUUUGUUUGUUUGUUUUGUUUUUUGGCCCAUGGCUCAGUUAAUUGAAAAACCUCAAUGGCACCUAAACUGCAUAGAAAAGAUCUGUAGCUGUAACCCACGUUUCAUCGGGCUUGAAGCCAAGCCAUUAUUGAGAAAUUCAUCCAUUUUAAAAGGCAGAUUUUUAAAUGAAAUCUAAUGAAAGCAAAAAUUUUUUUUUUUUUUUUUUUUUUUUUUUUUGCGCAAAAAUGCAUGCGAGAUCUGAGAUAAUGUUUAACGGAUGACCUUUUGUUCCUCUGACACAAUGUAAAGGACAGAUAUUUCUGACAAAAGGAAGAGAGAGAGAAAAACGAACAAAACAACAACCCUGGUAACUUUUAAUUCUGUGGAUGUUUGUAUGUAAAUUCUGAAACUAAAGAGCAUGAAAGGAAGUACUGUUUCUGUAUGUUCAAGAGCAUAUUUGAAGAAAAAAAAAAAUCAUUUUCUCUUGUUUUAUUUUCAGGUUUAAUUGAUCAGUUGUUUGAUCCAUGCAUCCAUUUUCCAUACUGCUUAGCCGACACAGGGUCAGGGGGAGCCUGGAGCCUAUCCCAGGGAACUUGGAGCGAAGGUGUGGGGACACUCUGGACGGGGUGCCAACCAAUCACAGGGCACAAUCACACACACUCAUAUACUAUGGACAAUUUGGAAAUGCCAAUCAGCCUUCAAUGCAUGUCUUUGGACUGGGCGAGGAAACCGGAGUACCCGGAGUAACCCCGCCCACUUAUUUCAUCAGAUAUAUAUAUAAAUAUAUAUAUCUUUCAAACAGUAUGUAAGCUAAUGUAGCUAGGUACAAGUGUCAACCAACAGUGAUAUUCAAUGUAACCGCACUCUCGCUCAUGCAGUCUUGCUUUUAGACAGCAGUUCUUUAAACAAUAGAUGAAUAUAGAGUAAGACGCGAUGUGGCCAAAUGUUCCGUUUAUUUUUGCUCCGCUAGUGGAAAUAAAUCCCAACGAAGCCACACUUACAUUAUAGCAUGUUGGCUAGCUAGCUCACACGGAUUUAUACGUCCCCGUUAAAAGGUGCUUCUGGUCGAAUUGGCGUCCCUUCUUCAUUUUCAUCUUCAUCUGAUGAGCCUUCAUCGAAGCCAAACGAAUCCUUUGCCAUAUCUGCCGUUGGUGUCGCUAACUCUACCGUAGUGACGGUUUCAAACUAGGAAGAACACAGAGUGGGGGACGCAGUGACACCUCCCAGUGCGUUUUUAGUACACUCUUGGAACGCCGCUUGACCGGUCGAAUUUGUGGACCAGAACUAACUGUUGUAUAAAAUAGUGUGCUUUUAACUACUUUUAUCGACUUUAAUCGUGGAUUACGUGGAUUAGUUCCAUUUAGAUGGGUCGAUAUGGAGGUCAUGUGGUAAAAGUGGUGAGGUAAAAUGCGCGAGAGAGAGAGAGAUGAGAGCAAGGAGAUGAUUGGAGGUUUAAGAGAUCAAGGGAAGGGACUUGGAGAUGUAGAAGUGGAUAUGUUAGGGGAAUUAAAUGGAAGCAUGAUGGAGAUAUUACGGUGUAGGACUAAUCUGAUAUGGUGGACAGGUUCUGGUAUAAGAUAGAGCGUCUAAGGAUUUCUCACCUGCCUUUCAUAUCUAAAUUUCUGGGAAAAGUUCUAGCCUCCCAGUUGCAAGCACAUCUUGAAGCUAAUAAUCUCUGUGAUCUGGUUUUCGGCCGCUCCACAGCGCUGAAAUGAUCGAUAUUGAUACUGACGUUAGUGUAUAUAAUAAGAAUUAGGUCUAGGAAAUAGUGGCGAUGUUAAUGUAUAGAAUGGAGACCGGACAUGUUGCGGUAUAUUAUCAAGCGUCCGUAGGAGACUGUGCCAGUGGUGGAGAUGGUAUGGUACAGGAUAAAAGGGCUGGAGAGGUUAGGGUAUCCACUGAAGGGUCUCGGGAAAAUAAAGUCGUUAGGAUAUUUAGGAUGGUGGUUGGAGGCGACUAUGAUUCUGAGGAGCUGAUAGCGUGAAAGCACAAAUGGUGUGAAAGAGAGAACAAGGAGGUGAUUUAUAGCAGCAGACUUUCUCACUGAAGCACAACAGGGAAAUCCAUUCUAAAAGCGUAUCAGUGAUGAUGGCCUUUAGGCUGUGUGUGUGUGUGUGUGUGUGUGUGUGUGUGUGUGUGUGUGCGUGCACAUACAAACCAUGAAGACAAAACAUAUAUUAGAGUAAUAAAACGAUAAACACUUUCAAAGUUGCAUAGCUGCCAAUAGCUCCGUGACCGGAGAAUGACUUCUAUCUUUCUGUGUGUGUGUGUGUGUGUGUGUGUGUGUGUGUGUGUGUGUGUGUGUGUGUAUACAUGCACUUAAAUGCUCCUCAUAGCAGUAUUAGUAAUGCGGCCUCUCUUCUCUCUCCCUUUGCUUUCCAAUAAAGUCAUCUGCCUCUUCUCAGACCGUACCCCAGGGACCAAACAGAGGGAAGGAAGACGGGUAAAUAAACGGAGGCGGUAAUGGUGCAGCGGCACUGACGAGCACGUCCGACUCUGUGUGUGUGUGUGUGGAGGCCCUCGGCACCCCUCUCACUUUACCCCUUAUGUUAAAGGCAGUCAGGGGGAAAAUUGGAGGCAGCACAGCUCUCUGCAAGCACACCUGAGACUGGGAAAGGAGGGAUGGAGGGGGAGGAAAGAGAGAGAGAGAGAGAACAGAGAGGAGAAUAAGAGAGAGAGGAGCUGGAAAGAUUUAGAAGGAGAGAAGAGAGGAAGAUCAGAUGGAGCAGAGGAAGUAGGGGUGGUAUGGGAGACGAUAAUGGUGCAACGGAAAUGCGGGACACAGUGGAAAGAUGGUAGAAAGGGAAGGAGAGGUUGAGUGAAA
Ictalurus punctatus (channel catfish) is the source of this 5464-nucleotide long non-coding RNA. RefSeq lists it as uncharacterized. The record is from RefSeq and is a predicted model, not a curated record. The transcript is spliced from 3 exons. NCBI's taxonomy places the organism in Eukaryota, Metazoa, Chordata, Actinopteri, Siluriformes, Ictaluridae.